This 253-nucleotide ribosomal RNA is filed under the name uncultured bacterium. RNAcentral describes it as "partial 16S ribosomal RNA". It matches the Rfam family "Bacterial small subunit ribosomal RNA", at positions 524 to 776 of the family's 1533-position model. The record is from RNAcentral.
UACGGAGGGGGCCAGCGUUGCUCGGAAUUACUGGGCGUAAAGGGCUCGUAGGCGGCUUGAUAAGUCCUGUGUGAAAUCCCCUGGCUCAACCAGGGAACUGCACCGGAUACUGUCGAGCUUGAGGCCGGGAGAGGGAAGCGGAAUUCCCAGUGUAGCGGUGAAAUGCGUAGAUAUUGGGAGGAACACCGGUGGCGAAGGCGGCUUCCUGGACCGGUUCUGACGCUGAGGAGCGAAAGCUAGGGUAGCAAACAGG